RNAcentral lists this ribosomal RNA (629 nucleotides) under uncultured archaeon. RNAcentral's name for it is "bacterial SSU rRNA". It matches the Rfam family "Archaeal small subunit ribosomal RNA", at positions 43 to 680 of the family's 1478-position model. The record is from RNAcentral.
ACUAAGCCAUGCGAGUCGAGAGGGUUCGGCCCUCGGCGAACUGCUCAGUAACACGGUGGAUAAUCUAACCUUAGUGGAGCAUACCCUCGGGAAACUGAGAAUAAUACUCCAUAGAUCUUUGAGGCUGGAAUGCGCUUAAUUGAAAGCUUCGGCGCCUAAGGAUGAGUCUGCGGACUAUCAGGGUAGUAGUCAGGGUAAAGACCUGACUAGCCUACGACGGAUACGGGUUGUGAGAGCAAUAACCCGGAGAUGAUAUCUGAGACACGAUAUCAGGCCCUACGGGGCGCAGCAGGCGCGAAAACUUCACAAUGCGCGAAAGCGCGAUGAGGGGAUCCCAAGUGCUUACACGUAAGUGUAAGCUGUUUUUCUGUCUAAAAAGCAGAGAGAGUAAGGGCUGGGUAAGACGGGUGCCAGCCGCCGCGGUAAUACCUGCAGCUCAAGUGGUGGCCGCUAUUAUUGGGCCUAAAACGUCCGUACCGGCUGAGUAAAUGCCUGGGUAAAUCGUGUGGCUUAACCAUACGAAUUCCGGGUAGACUGCUCAGCUUGGGACCGGAAGAAGUUAGAGGUACUCCUGGGGUAGGGUGAAAUCCUGUAAUCCUGGGGGGACCACCAUGGCGAAGGCGUCUAAC